GACGGGGAAGGGCUUUGCGUGGACGGCGGUGGCGAUGACGUCCUGCACGGAUAGGCGCGUGAGGUGCGUGCCGUGGGAGUAGUGGAGGUCGGCGUACUCGCCGGCGAUGGAGACGGAACGGGAGAUGUUGGCGCCGGUCUGGUCAGUGUAGAGGGAGACGGUUUGCCACCAGUCGGAGACGGAGGGAGAGGGGGAGACGCGGCGGUCGGAGGCGGAGAUGGAGAGGAGGAAGUCCUUGAUGAGAAGCUUCUGCGAUUGGGGCCACUUGCCGUACCAAAUGAGGUAGAUGUUGAUCGGGGAAGACAACACCGGCCCCAUGUGGUAUUUGAGCUUCACGAACU
RNAcentral lists this long non-coding RNA (341 nucleotides) under Phaseolus vulgaris (common bean). Its description in RNAcentral is "long non-coding RNA (PVUL_LNC002112)". Lineage: Eukaryota; Viridiplantae; Streptophyta; Magnoliopsida; Fabales; Fabaceae. The record is from RNAcentral.